Molecule: ribosomal RNA, 253 nt
Filed under: uncultured bacterium
Lineage: Bacteria
Description: partial 16S ribosomal RNA
Rfam family: Bacterial small subunit ribosomal RNA
Source: RNAcentral
UACGUAGGUGACAAGCGUUGUCCGGAUUUACUGGGCGUAAAGAGCGCGCAGGCGGUCGAUCAAGUCGAGUGUGAAAGCCCCCGGCUCAACUGGGGAGGGUCAUUCGAUACUGAUCGACUCGAAGGCAGGAGAGGGUAGUGGAAUUCCCGGUGUAGUGGUGAAAUGCGUAGAUAUCGGGAGGAACACCGGUGGCGAAGGCGGCCCACUGGAUCGGUACUGACGCUGAGGUGCGAAAGCGUGGGGAGCAAACAGG